UGUAAAUUGGCCGUUAAGAAAUAUUUUGACAGCUUAAACAUCUUCAAACCGUCUUUGUCGCGAUUGAUGCUUCGCAUUUUUCAGUAAAAAUAUCCCCUUCUGGGAAGUGUUUAGUGUUGACUGUAGAGCCACAUUUAGUGAAUUUUUGGAUAUAGAGGCUUUUAUUUUGUUACAGAUGACACAUUUACGAAAUCAUACAACCUCAUACAGUAACAUUAGUGAAUAUAAACGUGACAUGUUUAUAAUUAUGCCAUUAGAAACAAGGGCUGUAAAGCCAUCGAGGCUCUGAAAGCACGGCUAAGUACUUCCGGAGAGUGUAUUACAGGUAACUUUGGGAGAUAAUUGUGGGCUUUAUCCCAACUUUUCUUUCAAUAACGUUCAUGCAGCUAUAGCAACAAAUAACAGUCUUUCAACCAUCAUGUAUCAUCGUCCAAACAUUUCAAAUAAGAAAAAGAAACAAUUAUUCAUUAACAAUGAGAGAUAAUUGACUAUCCCAACUUUCCUUUCAAGAACAGUCAUGCAACUAUAGCAACAAAUAACAGUCUUUGAACCAUCAUCAUCCACUAAACAUUUCACGGGUCAGUAUGCCAAUCCUCAAAACCAAACACAAUAUUGGGCUGCGAGUUAACUAACCUAAGCCUCACUGCUCAGCUAAACCCUUUCACUUUUAGAGUGUCAAAGAGUGUCAUAAUGCGGAGGGAGGGGGUGGGGGGGAAGAGGGAGUGUCAGAGCUAACUGUGGGCUUUGUAAGAGCUAACUGUGGGCGAGGAUGAGAGCGCAUGAGAGUUGGCAGGCUUUGUUUACAUUUCGGUAUCCAAAAUAUUGAAUUUUAUUCCACAACUAUUUAUAUUUUUAUGAUUCUAG
Molecule: non-coding RNA, 864 nt
Organism: Paramuricea clavata
Lineage: Eukaryota; Metazoa; Cnidaria; Anthozoa; Malacalcyonacea; Plexauridae
Source: the annotation of a GenBank genome assembly